Non-coding RNA from Pelobates cultripes (western spadefoot toad), 469 nucleotides. Lineage: Eukaryota; Metazoa; Chordata; Amphibia; Anura; Pelobatidae. The record is from the annotation of a GenBank genome assembly.
AAAAUGGAAUGCAUGGCCAUUUUUAAAUAAAAAAAAAAUAAAUAAAUAAAAAAAACAAAAACAAAAAACAAACAAACAAAAAAACAAAAACGGAAGUGCAUCAUAAAAAGAAGACACUGACCCAUACAGGAAGUGUGUCAUCGGAAAUGGACACUUAAAAUGCAGUGAAAAAAACGGAAUGAAAAUCAGAACAGCUGAAACAACAGAUGGAGGUAAUUUACCAAUGGAUGAGAUGUCCAAUAGAAGAGGAAAAGGAGAGUACGCCCAUCACACCACCAAUGGACUUCCAGCACUUAUUGUAUUUAAGGAAUGGGAAGGGAGGGAAGCAAUAGGCUUAUGGAUACACUUGUUAGUAUUUGGAGUGUAUAAACUGUAUGUUUUUAAAAUUUUGGUUCCUGAAGAAGUUUCCUAAGGGGAACGAAACGCGUAGAACCAUAUUUUAAUUUAAUUUUACUAUAUGCCAAUAAAU